Molecule: ribosomal RNA, 2267 nt
Filed under: uncultured Intestinibacter sp.
Lineage: Bacteria; Bacillati; Bacillota; Clostridia; Peptostreptococcales; Peptostreptococcaceae
Description: partial contains 16S ribosomal RNA, 16S-23S ribosomal RNA intergenic spacer, and 23S ribosomal RNA
Rfam family: Bacterial small subunit ribosomal RNA (bases 1-1476)
Source: RNAcentral
GAUGAACGCUGGCGGCGUGCCUAACACAUGCAAGUCGAGCGAUUCUCUUCGGAGAAGAGCGGCGGACGGGUGAGUAACGCGUGGGUAACCUGCCCUAUACACACGGAUAACAUACCGAAAGGUAUGCUAAUACGGGAUAACAUAAGAGAUUCGCAUGGAUUUCUUAUCAAAGCUUUUGCGGUAUAGGAUGGACCCGCGUCUGAUUAGCUAGUUGGUGAGGUAACGGCUUACCGAGGCGACGAUCAGUAGCCGACCUGAGAGGGUGAUCGGCCACAUUGGAACUGAGACACGGUCCAAACUCCUACGGGAGGCAGCAGUGGGGAAUAUUGCACAAUGGGCGAAAGCCUGAUGCAGCAACGCCGCGUGAGCGAUGAAGGCCUUCGGGUCGUAAAGCUCUGUCCUCAAGGAAGAUAAUGACGGUACUUGAGGAGGAAGUCCCGGCUAACUACGUGCCAGCAGCCGCGGUAAUACGUAGGGGGCUAGCGUUAUCCGGAAUUACUGGGCGUAAAGGGUGCGUAGGUGGUUUCUUAAGUCAGAGGUGAAAGGCUACGGCUCAACCGUAGUAAGCCUUUGAAACUGAGAAACUUGAGUGCAGGAGAGGAGAGUAGAAUUCCUAGUGUAGCGGUGAAAUGCGUAGAUAUUAGGAGGAAUACCAGUUGCGAAGGCGGCUCUCUGGACUGUAACUGACACUGAGGCACGAAAGCGUGGGGAGCAAACAGGAUUAGAUACCCUGGUAGUCCACGCCGUAAACGAUGAGUACUAGCUGUCGGAGGUUACCCCCUUCGGUGGCGCAGCUAACGCAUUAAGUACUCCGCCUGGGAAGUACGCUCGCAAGAGUGAAACUCAAAGGAAUUGACGGGGACCCGCACAAGUAGCGGAGCAUGUGGUUUAAUUCGAAGCAACGCGAAGAACCUUACCUAAGCUUGACAUCCUUCUGACCUCUCCCUAAUCGGAGAUUUCCCUUCGGGGACAGAAGUGACAGGUGGUGCAUGGUUGUCGUCAGCUCGUGUCGUGAGAUGUUGGGUUAAGUCCCGCAACGAGCGCAACCCUUGCCUUUAGUUGCCAGCAUUAAGUUGGGCACUCUAGAGGGACUGCCAGGGAUAACCUGGAGGAAGGUGGGGACGACGUCAAAUCAUCAUGCCCCUUAUGCUUAGGGCUACACACGUGCUACAAUGGGUGGUACAGAGGGCAGCCAAGUCGUGAGGCGGAGCUAAUCCCUUAAAGCCAUUCUCAGUUCGGAUUGUAGGCUGAAACUCGCCUACAUGAAGCUGGAGUUACUAGUAAUCGCAGAUCAGAAUGCUGCGGUGAAUGCGUUCCCGGGUCUUGUACACACCGCCCGUCACACCAUGGGAGUUGGGGGCGCCCGAAGCCGGUUAGCUAACCUUUUGGAAGCGGCCGUCGAAGGUGAAACCAAUAACUGGGGUGAAGUCGUAACAAGGUAGCCGUAUCGGAAGGUGCGGCUGGAUCACCUCCUUUCUAAGGAGAAUUGCCUACUGUUUAAUUUUGAGGGUUCAUUAAAUGAAAACUCAACAAUAGAGGGCGUAGCCCAAUGCAACUGCAUUUUGAGCAACGGGAUGAACAUGAACGUAUGUGAAUGUUUAGACGUUGGCGACAUGCGAUAGCAUUUUAGUACUUUGAAAACUGCAUAACAUUUAGUGAUAUGACAUCAUUUAAUUAUAUAUAGACAGACAAGUCUUUAAAAUCAACUUUAAGCAAAGGGAUUUAUGUGAAUGAAUAUGAACAUAAAGACUUUCGCGAUAACUUUUAAUAACUGGUCAAGUUAUUAAGGGUGCAGGGCGGAUGCCUUGGCACUAGGAGCCGAUGAAGGACGUGAUAAGCUGCGAUAAGCUUCGGGGAGUUGCACGUAAACUUUGAUCCGAAGAUUUCCGAAUGAGGAAACUCACUUAGAGUAAUGUCUAAGUAUCGUUAAGUGAAUACAUAGCUUAGCGAGGGGAACCCGGGGAACUGAAACAUCUAAGUACCUGGAGGAAGAGAAAGAAAAAUCGAUUCCGUAAGUAGCGGCGAGCGAACGCGGAACAGGCCAAACCAAUGGAGUUUACUUCGUUGGGGUUGCGGACAUGUCAUUAACGAAGAGGUAUCGUAAGUGAAGAGAGUUGGAAAGCUCCGCUAUAAAAGGUAAUAGCCCUGUAGCUGAAACGAGAAGACUUUAGAUAUGAUCCAGAGUACCACGGGACACGUGAAACCCUGUGGGAAGCAGGAGGGACCAUCCUCCAAGCCUAAAUACUACCUAGUGACCGAUAGCGCAU